AUAAAAGCCCUUCUGGGUCGGCGUCUGGCACUCGCCUUCUCACGCCGACUGCAACAUGAUCAAGACAGUAAUUGUGCUGGUUUGCGCUGCCCUUCUUUUGGCAUUUGCGGGAGCCAAUCCUGACCCCGAACCUGGUUUUGGUGGACAUGGAUUCGGACGCGGUGGGUUCGGCCAUGGAGGAUUCGGACACGGCGGAUUCGGAGGCUUCGGACGUGGCGGAUUCGGAGGUUUCGGACACGGUGGAUAUGGUCGCUGAAGCAGUGCCAUUACGUUCACUGGAUUU
Molecule: long non-coding RNA, 283 nt
Organism: Penaeus vannamei (Pacific white shrimp)
Lineage: Eukaryota; Metazoa; Arthropoda; Malacostraca; Decapoda; Penaeidae
Source: RefSeq, a predicted model, not a curated record